Molecule: transfer RNA, 75 nt
Filed under: Clostridia bacterium
Lineage: Bacteria; Bacillati; Bacillota; Clostridia
Description: tRNA-Asn
Rfam family: tRNA
About the family: Transfer RNA (tRNA) molecules are approximately 80 nucleotides in length. Their secondary structure includes four short double-helical elements and three loops (D, anti-codon, and T loops).
Source: RNAcentral
UCCUCGGUAGCUCAAUGGUAGAGCAUCCGGCUGUUAACCGGAGGGUUAUAGGUUCGAGUCCUAUCCGGGGAGCCA